UACGGAGGGUGCAAGCGUUGUUCGGAAUCACUGGGCGUAAAGGGCGCGUAGGCGGCUUGGGAAGUCCGAUGUGAAAGCCCGGGGCUCAACCCCGGAAGGGCAUUGGAAACUCCCCGGCUUGAGUUCGGGAGAGGGAGGCAGAAUUCCCGGUGUAGGGUUGAAAUCCGUAGAUAUCGGGAGGAAAACCGGUGGCAAAGGCGGCCUUCUGGAGCGAAACUGACGCUGAGGCGCGAAAGCGUGGGGAGCAAAC
RNAcentral lists this ribosomal RNA (250 nucleotides) under uncultured bacterium. Its description in RNAcentral is "partial 16S ribosomal RNA". It matches the Rfam family "Bacterial small subunit ribosomal RNA", at positions 524 to 773 of the family's 1533-position model. The record is from RNAcentral.